Molecule: long non-coding RNA, 2953 nt
Organism: Condylostylus longicornis
Lineage: Eukaryota; Metazoa; Arthropoda; Insecta; Diptera; Dolichopodidae
Exons: 7
Source: RefSeq, a predicted model, not a curated record
UGUAUGUAUGUAUAUAUUGCGUAUAUAUAUUUAUAUAAGAAUAUAAGCCUUUCAAUUUAGUAUGUACAUAUAUAUAUAUAUUAUACACUUAAUGUAUAUGUACAUUAAAAUAAUUUAAUUUAUAAAUGCAUAUGUACAUACAUAAAUAUAUAUAUAUAUGUAUAUAUAUGUAUGUAUAAUUAUGAAAUAUAAGGCUUCAUAUAAUGUUAAUAUAUAAAUAUCAAUUAUAAGUAUAUAACUAGAAAAAAUUUAUAUAGGUAUACAGUACGUAUAGGCAUGGAUACAUACACGUACAUAAAUUCUGAGCAGUACUUAAAUGUUAUUAUAAAAAUUUUAUAUUAGUACAUACAUAAUUUUUUUUUUAAUAAAUAUGAAAAUUAUAUUCAAUAUUUGUGUUUAAUAUUACCUAGCUAUCUAUAUAAAUACAUACGUGCACAUAAUAUUAUUUUAAAUAACCAAAAUUUAUACUUUAUGUACAAAUCAAUAUGUACUUAUAUACGUAACCGUAUGUAACCGUAUAUUAUAAUUGUAUGCAUCAAUCUGAUGUAAAUAUAUAUUACGUUCAUACAUACAUACAUAAUUAAAAACUAUAUAGUGUCCCAUUCGAAAAUGUACCAAAUAAAGCCUUAUAUACCAAAUAAAAAAAAAAAUAAUUAUAAUAAAUAACAGCAAUAACAAUAAUAAGAACAAAAAAAAAAACAAAAAUACAAGAAAAAUUCUACAGUCAUUUUUGCCUGUUUUCCUUUUAUUUUUUUUAUUUUUUUUUAUUUUUAUUAAAGAUAUGUGAAAUUCGAAAAUAAAAUUGCCUUUAUUAGAAUUUUGUCGGCCGUGCGAAACGUUUGUGCACUCCAUUGAAAAAUAAGCAACAAUAAUAAUCAGAAAUAAUAUAAAAAAAAAAUUAAAAAAAAAAAAAACUUAAAAGAAUCAUCAAAAAUUUUAAAACUUUCUUUUUUGAUUCAUUUAUAAAAUUUAUUCAAGUAAAUGCGACUUAAUAAAUUCAAAUACUUUUUAUUAUGGUAUACUAUUUUAAAAUACAAAAAAUAAAAUAAACAGUGUACAGAGUGUUUAAAGUUAAAUAUAUUAUGAUGGUGCGGUUUAUAUAUAUGUAUGUACAUAUUUAACAUUGAAAUAUUUUGCCAAUUCAAUUAUUGAAGAAAUUAAAGGAAUGAAAUAUUACUAACAUCAACUGAAAAUGAAUACUAACAAAAAAUCAUAGAAAUUGUUAAAAAAACAUUAACUAAGAAUAUUGAGGAAAUUGAGUUAAAACAUUUUCAAGCAAUGUUUAAAAUAACAUAAAUAUAGUGAACAUAACAACAACAAUAAAAUAAAUAUAAAUAAACACUAUGAUUAUUGAAACAUAUGGGAAAACAUGGAAAUCUUAUUACAAGCAGAUUUCAUAAAAGCUGUAAUACUAACAAAAAAAAAAUUGAAUAACAAGGAAGCAAAAACUUGUAAAUCACCAUAAAAUUCAAGUUUAAAACUGCUCCCUGAUUCAAGGAAAAAUGCUCUAAGGUGAUUUGGAUUUUGGAAUUCGAAUAUAAGCAACGCAUUGUGCUAUAGAGCAAAUUUACAUCACAUAAUACGUACUUAAAUGCACAAAAACAAUGUUUAUAAUAAAAUAUAUGUAUAUAUAUAUGUACUGCACAUUUGCCUAAUAUACCAGAAUACCGAAAAUUAAGAUUGUAUAAUAUUUAACUAGAAAUUUAACGUAAAGUCUAAAGGUUUCUAUACAUACAAACAUACAUAUAACGUACAGUUGCGUCUUCAUCUUGUCAAAGUUAUUUAUUAUAACGUCUAAGCUAAAAAUACGAUUGCAUAAUGCAAUAUCAAAAACACCCAAUCUUUUAUUUAAAUUUAUUUUGAUACUUUGUAUCAAAGGCUUCAUAAACAAUAUUUUGACAAAUCAAAAAAAACGUUCUUACAUACGUACUUACAUACAUGCAUGUGUAUAAUAAAAUAAAACAACUUCUAACUUCAUAAUAUACACUUAUGAAAAUUGUAAGUACUACAUACAUACAUACGUACGUGCAUAUUGUGUACAUAUGAGUACUUGUAUUUGCAUUUAUUACGAGAAGAAGAAUUAUAAUGGAACCAGUAGUAAGCAACACUAUCGUCGUCAUUGCCGUCGUAAUAAAAAUGAACAUAAUAAUGACAUUUAUUCUAUGCUGAAGUUGACCAAAAUAUUUCCAAUUUACUAUUUUAACUGUGUUGCCGCUGUAUUUCAAUCUGGAAGGAAUCACUUAACGGGUAAAUAUUUACACUUUUUAAAAAUACAAUUUACGUUUUACAAUUUACGUGCUGAAAUAAUAAAUCUAGAAAGGCUAGGAAAAUUCAAUUAGUGAAUUUUAAAAAUUUGAUUUAACAAAAAAAAAAAAUAAAUAUGAUAUAAGAUGCUUUUGAGUGAAUUUUUUGCAAUACUUCGUAAAGAGUACUUUUAUAAAAUACAGGAAUUUCUUCAAAAAAAGGAAACCUUUUUUGUUUGGAAUUGCUUUAACUAUUAUCAAUUUACAAAUAUUUUCAAUUAAUUAUUUCGAUAUUGAAAAGUUUAGUUGGACAUUCUCUUUUAUUUAGGUAAGACAAAAUAGUAAAAUAAAAUAUGAUUAAUCAAAAUUUUUAAUACUAUAUAUAGCUAUAAGUAUUAAUUUAAAUUAUAAAAUUAAAAUUCUUUAAUUUUAUAUUAUAGUUAAAGUUUUUAAGUUUACAACAAAAAAUAUCAACCCAUCAAAAAAGCCAAAAAUGUAUUUGAGACCGGGAUCCACUCUGUGCUCGCUCAGUUUAUUAUUUUUAAAAUCAGUGAACACAGCUGGUGGUAUCUCAGUUUCAUUUAUGUUAAUAACAACAUUCAGUAAAUUUUAAGAAAAAAAAAUCUUCAAUGAACGUUUUAUAUUGCCUAGCAUUUGAAAUAUAACAGUUAAAAUAUUGUAUAAGAUGUGAUAUAUGUUGUGUUCUAUCG